This is a long non-coding RNA of Rhea pennata, 707 nucleotides long. RefSeq lists it as uncharacterized. The transcript is spliced from 4 exons. NCBI's taxonomy places the organism in Eukaryota, Metazoa, Chordata, Aves, Rheiformes, Rheidae. The record is from RefSeq and is a predicted model, not a curated record.
GUAUCUAGUCUCUGCCGCCAGCCCAUCCCCGCAAAGCUGCAGAAGAACUAAUUGUUCCAUGUCUGAUGUAUGCCAUUAGAGUGAGAGGAACGAUGAAAAAUGCAAAGGAAAAUCCCCGCCUACCUGCACGAGUUUCCCUUUGUGUAUGGAAUGGACCCAAACCUACGUAAAUCAGCUUUAUUGGUAUGCAAGAAAAAAAAAAAAAAAAGUGAGAUUAAAAGAGAACGAUGCCUGGAGAAGAAAAAAAUGGAACCCGAUGAGAGACCGAAGUUAGCUGCUUUGCAGGAGCCGAGCAGCUCAUAUAUGAUUAGCGAGUUACGCAAUAUUUAUAGCACUGCAAAAACAGCGAUUAUCUGGCAUGAUCAGCUCCGCAUGCAAAUUUUGGGCUAAGAAAUUGGAAGUCCUGAUAAUUCAAUGCAACCUUAUUCUCGAGGACUGCCGCGAACUGCCCUCUUUGAAGAAACCACCCACGUAAUAACGACCCUGGAGAGCAACGCAAAACCCAGCCGGCUGCUGCGCCAACUCCGCCAAAUUGCUGGGCUCGCCCGAAGACAGGCAAACUGGCAAGAGAUUCUGCGAGGGGAAAAAAUAAAACACGACAACUACCCACAAAGGGCUUGGUAUUUUUUUAAAGGCAGUAUCUAAAAGCCUCCGUCACCGAGCUACUGCAAAAUCCUUCAUUUCAAGUCUACUAUCUCCAGGUGACC